AUUGAACGCUGGCGGCAUGGAUUAGGCAUGCAAGUCGAACGAUGAAGCAGUGCUUGCACUGUGAAUUAGUGGCGAAAGGGUGAGUAACACGUGAGUAAUCUGCCUUCAACUCGGGGAUAGCCUUUGGAAACGAAGAUUAAUACCGGAUGUGAAGUUUAAAUCGCAUGAUUUUGACUUUAAAAUUUUUGGUUGGAGAUGGGCUCGCGUCCCAUUAGCUAGUUGGUAAGGUAACGGCUUACCAAGGCAACGACGGGUAGGUGGUCUGAGAGGAUGGUCACCCACACUGGAACUGAGACACUGUCCAGACUCCUACGGGAGGCUGCAGUCGAGAAUCUUCCGCAAUGGGCAAAGCCUGACGGAGCAAUGCCGCGUGAAUGAUGAAGGCCUUCGGGUUGUAAAAUUCUGUCACCUGGGACGAAAAUUUGACGGUACCAGGAGAGGAAGUGACGGCUAACUACGU
RNAcentral lists this ribosomal RNA (460 nucleotides) under uncultured bacterium. RNAcentral's name for it is "bacterial SSU rRNA". It matches the Rfam family "Bacterial small subunit ribosomal RNA", at positions 30 to 506 of the family's 1533-position model. The record is from RNAcentral.